This is a long non-coding RNA of Saccostrea cuccullata (small rock oyster), 1325 nucleotides long. RefSeq lists it as uncharacterized. NCBI's taxonomy places the organism in Eukaryota, Metazoa, Mollusca, Bivalvia, Ostreida, Ostreidae. The record is from RefSeq and is a predicted model, not a curated record. The transcript has 9 exons.
UUACAAUACGUGGAUCACUGUUGAUAGAGGGCGAGGUUGGUCACAUUAUGUGUUCCUUUUCCCUGAGUGAAGCCAUUAACUUGACGUCUUCAAAUGUUACUUUUAUUUGGACUAAAGAUGACAAAACACUAAAAAAUACAUCAGCAUUGACAAUUUCACAUUCCUGUAAUGGACAAACAUGUGAUUCCCGUAUUUUUGUAUCGUAUGUUGACAUUCUUUCUGAAGGCACAUACACUUGCAAUGCCAGUUUGGAUCAAUUCGAUUUCAUCGGACAUGGAUCAGCAAAAGAAAAAAUAGAAAUGAAAGAAAAACCAUAUCUUGUCAUGAGACCUAUCACAGCUUCUGUUCAAACUGACGAAAAAGUUCUAAUUCGCUGCUAUGUUAGAAACAUCGAUAAGUGGUACCAUGAAUCAAACGAAUCUUUGGCAUGGUGCUUUGGCAAUGAAAGUAAAAUUAUUACACAAAAAGGUGACGAUUUUAACCAGUCCUUUGCAUUCACUGUGACGGGCAAUGUUGAGAUUCGAUGUGGAAUAAACAGCUGUUUACCCGGGAAUUCAACAUCGUCUCAUAUAACCAUGGUUCAAAAGGGAAAGGAUUUGUGUAAAGAGAUUGAAGACUGGCCCUCAAGUCCAGCGGGCCAAGAAGCAACCAUUCCUUGUCCUAAAGAAUAUAAUGGCAUACAGAAGAGAAAAUGCAAAGAAAAUGGAGUAUGGGGCGCCAUCAAUACAACCAACUGCACACAAGAGAAGCUAGAAAAAGUAGAAAAAGCAAUUGAAGGAAUUAAAGAUAUUUCUGAAUCAAUUGUGCAGCAAUCACUUACUGCGAUAGCAGAUGUCGUCAAUUCGACCGAUGACAACAAUAACGUAGCACAUGUUAAUAUAAAACAGAGCGUCUUGCAUUAUAUCUGCAAUAUCCAGCAAAAAUAUAACAUUUGAAAAUAAAGCAGCUGCAGAGCAAGUAACUGAUAAAUUUGUUGAUGUUGUCAGUCAACUUUUAAAUGUGAAUAAAACCAAAGUAAAUCAAGCAAGUGAUGAAAAGAACUUGAAAAGUAAGAUCAUCUUAUCCGUGGACGGAUUUGCCAAAUCUGUGGCCAAGACACUAAAUACGAACGAGGCGGUGACUGUUGAAAAGAAAAACCUGUAUCUAACUAUAGAAAAUGUUACGAAGCAAGACAUAGUAUUUCCCAAAAAUGCAUCCGUAGCCCAAAGCACCAAAUUUCAAUUACCAGAAAAGGCUCUUUCCAAGCAAGGUAGUACUGUUGCGUUUACCGCUGUUAAAUAUGAUGAUUUUGGAUCUGAUUUUGAGUUUGAGCACACACCAGGAAA